Molecule: small nuclear RNA, 161 nt
Filed under: Erythranthe guttata (spotted monkey flower)
Lineage: Eukaryota; Viridiplantae; Streptophyta; Magnoliopsida; Lamiales; Phrymaceae
Description: Mimulus guttatus (spotted monkey flower) U1 spliceosomal RNA
Rfam family: U1 spliceosomal RNA
About the family: U1 is a small nuclear RNA (snRNA) component of the spliceosome (involved in pre-mRNA splicing). Its 5' end forms complementary base pairs with the 5' splice junction, thus defining the 5' donor site of an intron.
Source: Rfam by way of RNAcentral
AUACUUACCUGGACAGGGUCAAUGGGUGAUCAUUAAGGUCCAUGGCUUAUGCUAGCGACCGCCAUUGCACUUUGGAAGGGUGCAUGCGUAAGGUCGACCCACUUGGUCGAGUCUAUGUCAUAAUUUGUGCUAGAGGAAGCCUACGUUUGCGCGGCCUCUGC